Cryptomeria japonica (Japanese cedar) is the source of this 1135-nucleotide long non-coding RNA. RefSeq lists it as uncharacterized. The record is from RefSeq and is a predicted model, not a curated record. The transcript is spliced from 2 exons. NCBI's taxonomy places the organism in Eukaryota, Viridiplantae, Streptophyta, Pinopsida, Cupressales, Cupressaceae.
GCUUGCAAGAAUAUGGGAUGCUGAUCUUGGUAUACUCAAGUGGCUCGUGAGAUGAUUUAUUUGUUUUGGGCAUUAGUAUCAUAUUCAUUAACAAUUUUCUCAUGCCGCUUUGAUCAUGGACCUAAGCUUAUAUCAAAUGUAUAUUCUAUGAGUAUCGACAAACCUCAUUGUUAGUGUAAGGUCUACAUUCAAACAAAUCACACUAUGUGAAGGUAUUCACUUUGGUCGGUGUUUUAGUCUUAGACAACAUUAUUAUUAUAUUUCAAAGGGGCAUAGUUCAUAUUUCAGCCCGUGUGCAUUGUGGUUGGUACUAUUAUUGGUAUGCCAAGGAAGCCUGUAUAAGUUCAUUUGGUUUGUAAAAACCUAAAGACAAAACAUAUCAUUUCGAGGGUAUAUCAUAUGAUUGGUUAACAGUUGAGUUUCAAACCCUAGCCGCAGCCAAGCUAGGGCACGACCAUGGACGCAGGUUACUUCUCGAAACCCUAAUUGAAAACUCACGACCGCCACAACUCUUUUGCAUUUUCAGUUGUCUUGAGGAUGUACAUGGACUUCAAAAUUGAUACAGGUUCGAGCAUGGUUAUUAUGAAGAACAGUUGGUCAACAAAAUCUGUUUUUGCAGUUGUUAGAAAUCAGUUUGUUUUUGCAAAACUGUCAUCUUCAAAUUUCAUAUAUCCAGUUCACAGGAAAGCAAGGUGUGAAGUUUUUUUUAAUUUAAAAAAGGAUCUUUCAGCAAAGUGAAGAAAAACAAUUGCGCUUCAAAUGUUUAUAUUGUAAAUGAGAAAGAAAGUUUUUCAAAAGAUUCACUUCACCGUAUCAUUGUGUAUAUUUCCUAUAUGCACAACUAUAUUCUAUAAUUGAGAAAUCAUGUCCAUUGUAUGAUAUUGGUGUAUAUAUUCAAGUGUACACUCUGGUGUAUCGUGUGUGAAUAAGUUAAGAAAUGCUAUACCAUUGCUUCUGAAUCUCAAGUUGUGUGAGAUCAGAAGAUGAUAUGUAAUGAAGUAGAGAUUGAACUCUGUUUAUAAAAUUCAAGACAGUGAGGCACAUUUUGGUCAGUGAGACCUUCUUGCCAGUGAGGCAUUGUAACCAGUGAGGUUUUUGUUAUUAAGUCAGUAAGGCGUUUCGAGUGGUUUUUCUA